Molecule: ribosomal RNA, 447 nt
Filed under: uncultured bacterium
Lineage: Bacteria
Description: bacterial SSU rRNA
Rfam family: Bacterial small subunit ribosomal RNA
Source: RNAcentral
AAUUCGAAGCAACGCGAAGAACCUUACCAGGCCUUGACAUGUACGGAUUAGCCACGUGAAAGCGUGGUGACAGCUCUUCGGAGUCGGAACGUACACAGGUGUUGCAUGGCUGUCGUCAGCUCGUGCCGUGAGGUGUUGGGUUAAGUCCCGUAACGAGCGAAACCCUUAUCGUUAGUUGCCAGCGGGUUAUGCCGGGGACUCUAGCGAGACUGCCGUUGUCAAAACGGAGGAAGGUGGGGACGACGUCAAGUCAUCAUGGCCCUUAUGGCCUGGGCUACAAACGUGCUACAAUGGUCCAUACAAUGGGUUCCGAAGCCGCGAGGUGUAGGCAAUCCCAUCAAAGUGGGCCCCAGUUCGGAUUGCAGGCUGAAAUUCGCCUGCAUGAAGCCGGAAUCGCUAGUAAUCGCGUAUCAGCCAUGACGCGGUGAAUACGUUCCCGGACCUUGU